This 477-nucleotide ribosomal RNA is filed under the name uncultured bacterium. RNAcentral describes it as "partial 16S ribosomal RNA". It matches the Rfam family "Bacterial small subunit ribosomal RNA", at positions 28 to 507 of the family's 1533-position model. The record is from RNAcentral.
GAUUAACGCUGGCGGCGUGCAUAACACAUGCAAGUCGAACGAUGAAACUUUAAUGAACCCUUCGGGGAGAAUUAAAGCGGAUUAGUGGCGAACGGGUGAGUAACGCGUGAGUAACCUGCCUUACACAAGGGGAUAGCCUUUGGAAACGAAGAAUAAUACCCUAUAAAACCAUACAAGCACAUGCAAUUAUGGUCAAAGUGAUAGCGGUGUAAGAUGGACUUGCGUCUGCUUAGCUAGUUGGUGAGAUAAAAGCCCACCAAGGCAACGAUCAGUAGCCGGCUUGAGAGAGUGUACGGCCACAUUGGGACUGAGACACGGCCCAGACUCCUACGGGAGGCAGCAGUGGGGAAUGGUGCACAAUGGGGGAAACCCUGAUGCAGCGACGCCGCGUGAUUUAGAAGGCCUUCGGGUUGUAAAAAUCUUUUGUAUAGGAAGAAAAUGACAGUACUAUACGAAUAAGGUCCGGCUAAUUACGUG